This 4367-nucleotide long non-coding RNA is filed under the name Olea europaea (common olive). RNAcentral's name for it is "long non-coding RNA (OEUR_LNC009166)". The record is from RNAcentral. Lineage: Eukaryota; Viridiplantae; Streptophyta; Magnoliopsida; Lamiales; Oleaceae.
GAACAUCUAUAACUGGUGAUACUAUUCUUUGGAAACUCUUCUAGUUCGAUUCUAAAAUUAAGUUUUGCUCAAUCAAUAGUUUUUAGAAAUAAGUAAAGAGGCAUGAAAGAUUUAACUUGCUAAACAAGUAGAACUUCUUAAUUUGACAGCUUGUUUAUCAUAGUACUCCCUGGCAAGAGAACAGCAACGCUAAAUAAUAAUUAACCAUAAUCCGUCAUGGACAAGUAUUAAUCCUCUAUUAAGGUGCCGAAAAUUGGAACCCAUAAAGAUGUCAAAACUUGAGUGAGGUUGAGCUGGGUGCUAUUAUCAGCACAAGCAAAACAGCAAAUAUCCCUCAAGGAAAUUAUAAUCAUAAAAAAGAAAGUGGUGUUGAACCAUGCAUUAAUAUUGAAACAGUAAGCAAACAAAGUUCUUCAGGUCAGAACUCCAUAUUGGAUAAGGUAUCAUAUCAGAAACAUCAUAAUUUUAACAUUUCGUGGACAGGAAGAAAUUAAACAAAAAAUACUGCAACUCCAGGGUCGAGGUACCCACUGUUUCUAAUCUGAGAACAAGAACAUCCUUCUUUUGUCCAAUCCUAUGAGCCCUUGCUUGUGCUUGCAGAUCAACCUGAGAAACGUGAAAGAUUUCAGCAAAUGUUGAGUUCUCAUAUCAAUGGUUUUACAUUUUGAUAAAGGAGCAGCAUUGAAAUGUUGCCUGUGGAUUCCAGUCUGUGUCAAAUAUAAUAACUGUAUCAGCAGCUUGAAGAUUUACACCAACACCUCCAGCUCGAAUACUGGAAUCAAAUUGUAAUGAGUCAGUGCAACAAGACACGCAUACUAACUUGAAGAUUAACUACAACUGAAUGCACAAGUCCAAUGAAACAUCUUUCAAGUGGAAAGGAUCUACAUUAUGGCCAGGGGAGCCAUGGUCUCCAUUGACCCAAUAACAACUCCACUUUCUGCUUUAGUUAUGUUUUUAAGUAGUUUGACCCCCUCAAUAUCUAUCUAGCUUUCAUCAAUUCUAACAUGCUAAUGUAACAAUACUAAGGAUAACCAUGGUAAUGUAUUUUGUGUUGAAGACCACUUGCGAUCCCUAGGCUAACUUUGCUGCUCCUGACAUGAAAUGCAAAUAUUAUUCUACUGAUUCGAUCUUCAAGCACCGGGCAUCUUUCUUGUAAUGCAUUUUUGUGUUGAUUUGAGUGUAUUAUUCAGAUUUUGGCCGUACUGUACUGGAUACAAAACAGGUCUCAAUGUUCUCGAGCAUUAUUAUUGAAUAAAUAAGACAGAACGUCCCUCAUUCUAGUCAAAAUAUUAGAUGUUUGAAUUCCCUUUUUCAGAAAAUCAAACAACACGACCCCAUCACCAGAUAGUUUUUCAAUCCAACCCACACACGUUUCAGAAUUUCCUAGAGCCAGUAGCAACAAUCAAAGUAGAUUUAAAAAAUCGCCUACUACAUAAGAUUGCUCAAGCCAACAUUGCAUAUGGAUUCUAGAAGUCCCAACUAUUGCACCUCUUACUGAUGCAAACCGUCUAGUCAAUUAUAGAUCUAAAAGAAAUCCAAUUCUACUGGUACAGAUAAGCUGAAUUAUUACCUGAGCAAAAAUAUAAAAUACGGAGAACCUGGUUGAUUGAACUUCUCAAUAAGAGCUCCUCGAUCACCCCCAGAUGUCUGUCCAUCUAAGCGAAGGUAUUUAUAUUGUUUCCAGCAAAGAUAGUCCUCCAUGACAUCAAGGAGUCUAGUCAUUGUUGAAAAGAGAAGAACCUGCAGAACAUAAAAAUUCAGAUUUUCGAACGUGUGGAAUCAGACCUUCAAGUACCCUGGAAGCUUAAUAAAGAAUCACAUAUCAGAGAAGGUGAAAGAAAAAUAUUUCAUGGGAAAAAAUGGGGUAUUCUGAGUAAGCCCCUCCCUCUUGUCUCUCUAAACAGAAGUUACAGAACAAAGGGGACUUUAACCUUUGUGGUCAGGCACAAGGGUUCCAAAGCAACCGUUAGAUAAUUUUGGGAUAAGGUUUAAGCUCUGUAGCACCGACACGCUGCCAGCGACAGCUUAUCGGACACCGAUUUGCCUCCGACACGUCGCCGACGCGUGUCGGAGUUGAUGGUAGCGUGUCGGAGGAUUGCUGGGCGGCUGAGUUGAAGGGAAGAAAUGCAACCGGAGCUGGAGGAAGAAAUGCAACCAGAGGAAGCGUGGCCGUCUGGGAAGGAAGAAAAAAAAAAGAGGAAAGAAAAAAGAGAGAAAAGAGAAGAAGAGACCUGGCCUAAAAAUGGAAACUGUUGAACUGACUUGUCUGAGAAAUGGAAAGAAAUCAGAGAAGAAAAAGAGAAGAAAAAGGGACAGCUGGAAAUGAUAAAACUCUCCCUUUACCAAUGAAUAUUUUAAUUUGUAGGGCCCACAAUUGUAAAAUCUUGUACUUUUUGUAUCUUUCGAUGCUGUAACUUUUGAUCAAAUACUAUAUAAUAUUUUGUUUGAAUGACAUUGUACCAUUUUACCCCUUUACCAAAGAAUAUUGUGAAUAAGGAGUAUGCCAAAUUCUCAACUAUGGAAGAAUAAAAUGUUGUGGACAAUAAAAUUAAAAUAAACUAAAAAAAAAUUAAUUUUAUAAUCAACAUGUCGGCGAUGUAUCGUGUCGGAAUUUUUUUAAAAAUCGCGUGUCAGCCUGUCCGACACGUCCGUGUCCGUGUCGGUGCUUCUUAGGGUUUAAGUAACCUAUAGCCUAUCAAAAUUACUGAAUGUUUUCACAAACCCAUGAAUAGACACCCCCCAACCCCAUCGCUCAAAGGAAAAAAUACACUGCACACCAGCAAAAACUUGCAAAAAAAUAAAAGGGAUAAAUCAAUAAGCAGAUAGAUCGCCAAAUGGAAAACAGGAAAUGGAGAAAAGAAAGAACAAAUUAGCCAAAUCACUUCGAGAAAAAAGACAAGCACAUAAAGUGAAGGAAACAGUUAUUUUCUUCAAACAAAUCAAUGCACAUUGUGAUACAUAACAAAGAAUAAAUACAAUGAUUCUAACCUAUAAAAGGGAGUAUCUACUAGAAAAGCGAUAUGAAACUGGUAAUCAAAUCAAAGAUGUAGGUGCAGUGAAAGAAUGGUAAUUUUCGACAUAUCAUACAACAUAUUACUAGAGCAUUAAACAGAACUCCAGAAUCACAAAAGAUAAAUACAAGAAAACUCUGAUAAAGAAUGAGAAAAUAAAAAAAAAAAAACUCAUACACUAUAACACUAAACACGAACCAUAAAAUUGAAUUUUCAUACCCGAUGAUCAGUUGCCUUUAGUUUGGGCAGCAAUCGAUCUAACAUCUCAAGCUUCCCACAGAGCCUCACAAUAUUAGGCAGAUAAUGCUUCGGAAUAAAAUCAUGAACCUAAUUAAAGAAACGAAAGUAAAUCUCAGUUAAACAGUUGUAGAGUCCUAAGCAUUUGGAGAUUAUGGGAUGAUUCUGCCUUUAUGUAUUAAAUGCCAGUAUUCUGCCUUUUAAUUACUUGGGAUGAUUCUGCACACAAUAAGCCACCUAACAAUACAAACGAAGUAAAAUACUAAGCCAAAACAAUAAGCCAAAAUAGUAGGUAAGCUCUUGCAUCAUUAACUUAGUUAAAGGUUGAUAUCAUUACAAAUAAAGGUAUAUAAAACCUUGCAUAAAUACAUACAUCAACUUAAAUCUAGAAGAAAGUUUUCAAACAAAGCAAAAUAUUAAGCAGAAAUAAUCCAUGGAGAUUCUCUUUUAGUUUCCUUCAUCCUCGGCAACUCCUUUACCCUUGCGGAACGUAACGUUCACUUGCCUUCACUUGAUUUACCUCUCGACUUGUCUUUAUCUUUCCAAGAAGUGCACUGUUUCUUUGUUGGGCAAUCAUACAAGAAGUGCCCCGGCUUCCUACAACUGUGACAAUGUAAUGUAAUCAGCAAACUAAUAAAAACGGCCAAAAAUUCAAUAUAAUCAGCCUCUUCAAUAUAAAAAAUUCAAAAAUUUCGAAGAGUGGAAGGUGCACAACGUAAUCAGCCUCUUCAAGCAACAUUAACAAUAACCAUUGUACCAUACUUAUGCAUCCACUUCCAAAAAAAUUCAAUAACAGUAAAUUGAGGGAAAGACAACACCAACACUGGAACUUCAUCAUAUUAAGGUACCGAAAAUUGGAACCCAUAAAGAUGUCAAAACUUGAGUGAGGAUUGAGCUGGGUGCUAUUAUCAGCACAAGCAAAACAGCAAAUAUCCCUCAAGGAAAUUAUAAUCAUAAAAAAGAAAGUGGUGUUGAACCAUGCAUUAAUAUUGAAGCAGUAAGCAAACAAAGUUCUUCAGGUCAGAACUCCAUAUUGGAUAAGGUAUCAUAUCAGAAACAUCAUAAUUUUAACAUUUCGUGGACAGGAAGAAAUUAAAAAAAAAAUACUGCAACUCCAGG